UACGUAGGUGGCAAGCGUUGUCCGGAUUUACUGGGCGUAAAGAGCGCGCAGGCGGUCGUUCAAGUCGAGUGUGAAAGCCCCCGGCUCAACUGGGGAGGGUCACUCGAUACUGAUCGACUCGAAGGCAGAAGAGGGAAGCGGAAUUCCCGGUGUAGUGGUGAAAUGCGUAGAUAUCGGGAGGAACACCAGUGGCGAAGGCGGCUCACUGGCCCGAUACUGACGCUGAGGCACGAAAGCGUGGGGAGCAAACAGG
Molecule: ribosomal RNA, 253 nt
Filed under: uncultured bacterium
Lineage: Bacteria
Description: partial 16S ribosomal RNA
Rfam family: Bacterial small subunit ribosomal RNA
Source: RNAcentral